Molecule: ribosomal RNA, 786 nt
Filed under: Bacillus aerius
Lineage: Bacteria; Bacillati; Bacillota; Bacilli; Caryophanales; Bacillaceae
Description: bacterial SSU rRNA
Rfam family: Bacterial small subunit ribosomal RNA
Source: RNAcentral
AUAAUGCAGUCGAGCGGACAGAAGGGAGCUUGCUCCCGGAUGUUAGCGGCGGACGGGUGAGUAACACGUGGGUAACCUGCCUGUAAGACUGGGAUAACUCCGGGAAACCGGAGCUAAUACCGGAUAGUUCCUUGAACCGCAUGGUUCAAGGAUGAAAGACGGUUUCGGCUGUCACUUACAGAUGGACCCGCGGCGCAUUAGCUAGUUGGUGAGGUAACGGCUCACCAAGGCGACGAUGCGUAGCCGACCUGAGAGGGUGAUCGGCCACACUGGGACUGAGACACGGCCCAGACUCCUACGGGAGGCAGCAGUAGGGAAUCUUCCGCAAUGGACGAAAGUCUGACGGAGCAACGCCGCGUGAGUGAUGAAGGUUUUCGGAUCGUAAAGCUCUGUUGUUAGGGAAGAACAAGUGCAAGAGUAACUGCUUGCACCUUGACGGUACCUAACCAGAAAGCCACGGCUAACUACGUGCCAGCAGCCGCGGUAAUACGUAGGUGGCAAGCGUUGUCCGGAAUUAUUGGGCGUAAAGGGCUCGCAGGCGGUUUCUUAAGUCUGAUGUGAAAGCCCCCGGCUCAACCGGGGAGGGUCAUUGGAAACUGGGAAACUUGAGUGCAGAAGAGGAGAGUGGAAUUCCACGUGUAGCGGUGAAAUGCGUAGAGAUGUGGAGGAACACCAGUGGCGAAGGCGACUCUCUGGUCUGUAACUGACGCUGAGGAGCGAAAGCGUGGGGAGCGAACAGGAUUAGAUACCCUGGUAGUCCACGCCGUAAACGAUGAGUGCUAAGUG